Molecule: ribosomal RNA, 819 nt
Filed under: Triticum aestivum (bread wheat)
Lineage: Eukaryota; Viridiplantae; Streptophyta; Magnoliopsida; Poales; Poaceae
Description: partial small subunit ribosomal RNA
Source: RNAcentral
AUGAUCUGCCGGGAGCCGCCGCCCGGCGGCAGGGGAGGCUCCUCCAUGGACCCGCCCCGCCACUCCUGGGACGGGUCCAUGGUCGGCAGGGCCUUCGCCUGCUCCUUCGCGUGCCUGGACGAGCCGCCUGAUGGCGUCACCAGGGUCAGGCAGGGCAAUGCAGAGGAAUCGGCCAGGGAGCGCCCUGCUGCCGGGGUUGCGGAGAGCAGGAACGGGGAGCAUUCUGCCGAGAUUGCAGCAGAGAGCAGGAAUGGGGGGCAUUCCGCCGAUGUGGGCGGCGAGGGGCCGAGGUUCAGAGGAAGGAGAAGCUGCAGUGACGCCGGCCCGGAGAUAACUGCGGCGGCCUCAGGUGUCCGGCGCCGGAGGUCCAACAGGUGGAGCAGGGUGUGGGAUCGCAGCAUCACGAGUCCACUCAAGGAGUUUGUGAGGAAGGGGGAGCACGCUCUUGAUCGGUCCUUCUCGGAGUCAAGGAGGGAAACCCGGAGGUGUAAAAAUGGGGAGACGACAGACAUCGAAAAUGGCGAAAUUCAGCAUGGCCGCAAUGGGUCGGCAAUUCCAGGCAGAGCAAGCCAGAGCGCAAGCAGAAGAUCGCAAGCUGCCGCGGCUAACGGGGACGAGCAGAAUUUCCGCACCGACUGGCUCAAGAACAAGGAAUGCAGGAUCGGCAGGAGCAGGAGCGUGCAUUACACCUCUCCUGGGAACUUUGAUAAUGGGAUGCUACGGUUUUAUCUGACGCCGAUGAGGAGCAACAGAGCCGCAAACAGGGGGAGGAGGAGAAGCUCUCGCUUGUUUACGAGAGGACUUUUUGGUUUUGUUUGA